AACGCGAAGAACCUUACCUGGGCUUGACAUGCAUCGUGUCGCCGGUGAAGCCGGCUAGUGUAGCAAUACACGCUUUGCACAGGUGCUGCAUGGCUGUCGUCAGCUCGUGUCGUGAGAUGUUGGGUUAAGUCCCGCAACGAGCGCAACCCUCGUCGAGUGUUGCCAUCAUUAAGUUGGGCACUCACUCGAGACCGCCGUUGAUAAGACGGAGGAAGGUGGGGAUGACGUCAAGUCAGCAUGGCCCUUACGUCCUGGGCUACACACGUGCUACAAUGGCCGGAACAACGGGCAGCAAGACCGCGAGGUCAAGCGAAUCCCAUAAAGCCGGUCUCAGUUCGGAUUGCAGGCUGCAACUCGCCUGCAUGAAGUCGGAAUCGCUAGUAACCGCAGAUCAGCUACGCUGCGGUGAAUACGUUCCCGGGCCUUGUACACACCGACUGUAC
Molecule: ribosomal RNA, 443 nt
Filed under: uncultured bacterium
Lineage: Bacteria
Description: partial 16S ribosomal RNA
Rfam family: Bacterial small subunit ribosomal RNA
Source: RNAcentral